Molecule: long non-coding RNA, 340 nt
Organism: Helianthus annuus (common sunflower)
Lineage: Eukaryota; Viridiplantae; Streptophyta; Magnoliopsida; Asterales; Asteraceae
Exons: 3
Source: RefSeq, a predicted model, not a curated record
UGCAUCUUAGGUUUAAUGAGAUGAUCGAUGUGAAGAAAGUCUUCUUAUUAACACACCAUAUGAAGAUUUAAAGAAUCUUGAAAUAGAAUUUCUUGAAAACCCAUGAACAAAGGUAGCGGAGCAUCACCGGAAAUAAGACCUAGAAGAGGUUGAAAUAUUGAUGGUAUUGGCUGAAAGCGAUUGUAAUACUCGGGAGAGGAGUUCUAUCGUUACCUUUUAAUGUAACACAAACGUCCAGGUAUCCCCGUUUGUUAAUGCUUUCACUUUCAACCAAUGAAUUAGGAGAAUGAACUGCAAGUUCAUUCCAACUUGCAAGUUUUCAAUUAUAUUAUAAUCAAAA